Long non-coding RNA from Gambusia affinis (western mosquitofish), 757 nucleotides. RefSeq lists it as uncharacterized. The record is from RefSeq and is a predicted model, not a curated record. Lineage: Eukaryota; Metazoa; Chordata; Actinopteri; Cyprinodontiformes; Poeciliidae. The transcript is spliced from 3 exons.
GGUCUUUUUUGGACUGCAGGGGGCGCUCCUCUGCACCCUGUUUGACUGUGGUAGCAUCACUCUGUGGUGUUAGAGCAGCAGUUUAUCUACAGCUGAAAGGAAGUGGUUAGAGAAGCGAAUCAGGAAGGCCAGCUCUGUGACAGGACACCCCCUCCACCCAGAGCAGGUGGGAGCUGUGGCUGAACAAGAGAGCUCCUUCAGUGACAGAUCGCUGCAUCCUAAGUGCUCAAAGGAGUUUUAUCACAGAUCCUUCCUCACAGCAGCUAACACUCUAUAACAAUCACUGUUCCCUACCACCUCAACAUACCCUGCUGUGAUACUGAGGGCAUGGACACUUGUGCCAGCGCUACAAGGAGAAAUAUAGUGAGUGUCAAAGUAAAAGAAGAGGCGUUCUUUCAUCCAAACAGAAGGAAGUAACUGUCUGUCUAGGUUGCAGGAUGGAAGUUGGAUGGUGGAUAUUCUGGAAACUGACAGUCAGCCAACAUCCCGCCCUUGGAGACUUCUGUUCCAAGGGCACAGAUAUGGCCAUUCACCUGGGGAGCUUCAGAAAAUAUCUAGACUUGGAGGGAUUUGAGGGUGAAUGCUAUCAUUGCUGGAUUACUGGAAGAAGCAGGCACCAUUGAUCCAGGUCCAGCAUAUACCACCCAGGGGACGAAUCAAAUGAAACUCUCAAACUGGAGCAAAGAACCUUUGCAAAAUAGCUCAAUCGUUGUUGUGGUAGUUGUUAUGUUUUUGUGGCACAUUAAGUUUUUAAAGG